This 696-nucleotide ribosomal RNA is filed under the name uncultured bacterium. RNAcentral's name for it is "bacterial SSU rRNA". It matches the Rfam family "Bacterial small subunit ribosomal RNA", at positions 59 to 722 of the family's 1533-position model. The record is from RNAcentral.
CAGUCGAACGAAAAGACGGAAAGAGCUUGCUCUUUUCAGAAUUGAGUGGCACAUGGGUGAGUAACACGUAAACAACCUGCCUUCAGGAUGGGGACAACAGACGGAAACGACUGCUAAUACCGAAUAAGUUCCAAGAGCCGCAUGGCCCAUGGAAGAAAAGGUGGCCUCUACCUGUAAGCUAUCGCCUGAAGAGGGGUUUGCGUCUGAUUAGCUGGUUGGAGGGGUAACGGCCCACCAAGGCGACGAUCAGUAGCCGGUCUGAGAGGAUGAACGGCCACACUGGAACUGAGACACGGUCCAGACUCCUACGGGAGGCAGCAGUGGGGAAUCUUCCGCAAUGGGCGAAAGCCUGACGGAGCAACGCCGCGUGAGUGAUGACGGCCUUCGGGUUGUAAAACUCUGUGAUCCGGGACGAAAAGGCAGAGUGCGAAGAACAAACUGCAUUGACGGUACCGGAAAAGCAAGCCACGGCUAACUACGUGCCAGCAGCCGCGGUAAUACGUAGGUGGCAAGCGUUGUCCGGAAUUAUUGGGCGUAAAGCGCGCGCAGGCGGCUUCCCAAGUCCCUCUUAAAAGUGCGGGGCUUAACCCCGUGAUGGGAAGGAAACUGGGAAGCUGGAGUAUCGGAGAGGAAAGUGGAAUUCCUAGUGUAGCGGUGAAAUGCGUAGAGAUUAGGAAGAACACCGGUGGCGAAGGC